This 490-nucleotide ribosomal RNA is filed under the name uncultured bacterium. Its description in RNAcentral is "partial 16S ribosomal RNA". It matches the Rfam family "Bacterial small subunit ribosomal RNA", at positions 30 to 507 of the family's 1533-position model. The record is from RNAcentral.
AUUGAACGCUGGCGGCAGGCCUAACACAUGCAAGUCGAACGGUAACAGGAAGAAGCUUGCUUCUUUGCUGACGAGUGGCGGGCGGGUGAGUAAUGUCUGGGAAACUGCCUGAUGGAGGGGGAUAACUACUGGAAACGGUAGCUAAUACCGCAUAACGUCGCAAGACCAAAGAGGGGGACCUUCGGGCCUCUUGCCAUCGGAUGUGCCCAGAUGGGAUUAGCUAGUAGGUGGGGUAACGGCUCACCUAGGCGACGAUCCCUAGCUGGUCUGAGAGGAUGACCAGCCACACUGGAACUGAGACACGGUCCAGACUCCUACGGGAGGCAGCAGUGGGGAAUAUUGCACAAUGGGCGCAAGCCUGAUGCAGCCAUGCCGCGUGUAUGAAGAAGGCCUUCGGGUUGUAAAGUACUUUCAGCGGGGAGGAAGGGAGUAAAGUUAAUACCUGUGCUCAUUGACGUUACCCGCAGAAGAAGCACCGGCUAACUCCGUG